This 1523-nucleotide ribosomal RNA is filed under the name metagenome. Its description in RNAcentral is "bacterial SSU rRNA". It matches the Rfam family "Bacterial small subunit ribosomal RNA". The record is from RNAcentral.
AGAGUUUGAUCAUGGCUCAGAUUGAACGCUGGCGGCAGGCCUAACACAUGCAAGUCGAACGGUAACAGGAAGAAGCUUGCUUCUUUGCUGACGAGUGGCGGACGGGUGAGUAAUGUCUGGGAAACUGCCUGAUGGAGGGGGAUAACUACUGGAAACGGUAGCUAAUACCGCAUAACGUCGCAAGACCAAAGAGGGGGACCUUCGGGCCUCUUGCCAUCGGAUGUGCCCAGAUGGGAUUAGCUAGUAGGUGGGGUAACGGCUCACCUAGGCGACGAUCCCUAGCUGGUCUGAGAGGAUGACCAGCCACACUGGAACUGAGACACGGUCCAGACUCCUACGGGAGGCAGCAGUAGGGAAUAUUGCACAAUGGGCGCAAGCCUGAUGCAGCCAUGCCGCGUGUAUGAAGAAGGCCUUCGGGUUGUAAAGUACUUUCAGCGGGGAGGAAGGGAGUAAAGUUAAUACCUUUGCUCAUUGACGUUACCCGCAGAAGAAGCACCGGCUAACUCCGUGCCAGCAGCCGCGGUAAUACGGAGGGUGCAAGCGUUAAUCGGAAUUACUGGGCGUAAAGCGCACGCAGGCGGUUUGUUAAGUCAGAUGUGAAAUCCCCGGGCUCAACCUGGGAACUGCAUCUGAUACUGGCAAGCUUGAGUCUCGUAGAGGGGGGUAGAAUUCCAGGUGUAGCGGUGAAAUGCGUAGAGAUCUGGAGGAAUACCGGUGGCGAAGGCGCCCCCCUGGACGAAGACUGACGCUCAGGUGCGAAAGCGUGGGGGGCAAACAGGAUUAGAUACCCUGGUAGUCCACGCCGUAAACGAUGUCGACUUGGAGGUUGUGCCCUUGAGGCGUGGCUUCCGGAGCUAACGCGUUAAGUCGACCGCCUGGGGAGUACGGCCGCAAGGUUAAAACUCAAAUGAAUUGACGGGGGCCCGCACAAGCGGUGGAGCAUGUGGUUUAAUUCGAUGCAACGCGAAGAACCUUACCUGGUCUUGACAUCCACAGAACUUUCCAGAGAUGGAUUGGUGCCUUCGGGAACUGUGAGACAGGUGCUGCAUGGCUGUCGUCAGCUCGUGUUGUGAAAUGUUGGGUUAAGUCCCGCAACGAGCGCAACCCUUAUCUUUUGUUGCCAGCGGUCCGGCCGGGAACUCAAAGGAGACUGCCAGUGAUAAACUGGAGGAAGGUGGGGAUGACGUCAAAUCAUCAUGCCCCUUAUGACCUGGGCUACACACGUGCUACAAUGGACAGAACAAAGGGCAGCGAAACCGCGAGGUUAAGCCAAUCCCGCAAAUCUGUUCUCAGUUCGGAUCGCAGUCUGCAACUCGACUGCGUGAAGCUGGAAUCGCUAGUAAUCGCGGAUCAGCAUGCCGCGGUGAAUACGUUCCCGGGCCUUGUACACACCGCCCGUCACACCACGAGAGUUUGUAACACCCGAAGUCGGUGAGGUAACCUUUUAGGAGCCAGCCGCCGAAGGUGGGACAGAUGAUUGGGGUGAAGUCGUAACAAGGUAGCCGUAUCGGAAGGUGCGGCUG